AUUGAACGCUGGCGGCAUGUUUUACACAUGCAAGUCGAGCGGCAGCGCGGGGGCAACCCUGGCGGCGAGCGGCGAACGGGUGAGGAAACCAUCGGAACGUGCCCGAGAGUGGGGGAUAACGCCGCGAAAGCGGCGCUAAUACCGCAUAUUCUCUGAGGAGGAAAGUGGGGGACCGCAAGGCCUCACGCUCCCGGAGCGGCCGAUGUCGGAUUAGCUAGUUGGUGGGGUAAAGGCUUACCAAGGCGACGAUCCGUAGCUGGUCUGAGAGGAUGAUCAGCCACACUGGGACUGAGACACGGCCCAGACUCCUACGGGAGGCAGCAGUGGGGAAUUUUGGACAAUGGGCGCAAGCCUGAUCCAGCCAUGCCGCGUGAGUGAAGAAGGCCCUCGGGUUGUAAAGCUCUUUUGUCCGGAAAGAAAAGCGCCGGGUUAAUACCCUGGUGUCCUGACGGUACCGGAAGAAUAAGCACCGGCUAACUUCGUGCCAGCAGCCGCGGUAAU
This 501-nucleotide ribosomal RNA is filed under the name uncultured bacterium. RNAcentral's name for it is "bacterial SSU rRNA". It matches the Rfam family "Bacterial small subunit ribosomal RNA", at positions 29 to 524 of the family's 1533-position model. The record is from RNAcentral.